Molecule: long non-coding RNA, 12394 nt
Filed under: Drosophila guanche
Lineage: Eukaryota; Metazoa; Arthropoda; Insecta; Diptera; Drosophilidae
Source: RNAcentral
UUGGACGAAUAAAUGAACGGAGCGUUCACAUAAACUCCGACACGAGUCGUAAAAGUGCAUUGAUAUAAUCAUAUUGUUGAGCCUUAAGGGCCAACGAAAUAGAGGGCAAUUACCCUCUCAACAUAAUCUUCGGUAGAAGACUCAGUUGCCAACCGCAACCACCGUCCCCCGCUACAAGAGCGGGCCACGGGAACCCGAUCGCUGCCGCCGGAGCCAACGCAACGCAUACCGCAGCUCGGACCAAAAACCGCCAUAAGUUAAUUGGCGCCCAACGGGAUUUAGGAUCCACGUCCCCAAGAAAAAUAACAUGUAAGUUGGGACUAUAGAAACAAGGUCGAAUACGACAGCGACGAGAGCCUAGACUUAUUGUACCAGCCACCAGUCAGAACAGUGCAGAAUCAAUUUAAAAUGGACCCAGCCAUGAUAAAAGCGUUAGUAGAAGGCGCAAUCAACACAGCCCUCGUCGAACAGGAACGACGACUGAGUGCAGAAUUUAGCAGGGAACUCGAAAAAGUUAGAAAUAGUGUGAGCGCUCUAACUGUAGGUGUCCCUCAGGUGGAAACUUAUAAGAGAGUGACCAUUGACACUAGUAUAAAAUGUGAAGUGAAACUAGAUAUCAUAAAAUCAGUACCAACUUUCAACGGGAAUCAUGAGGAAUAUGUGUCUUGGAGACAAUCUGCUCUAGAUGCGUACGAAGUUUUCAAAAACUACUCUGGUAGUCAGACACACUACGAGGCUGUGGCCAUCAUAAAAAAUAAAAUCUGUGGAACAGCUCGAGCAUUGCUCACAUCGCACAACACGGUGCUCAAUUUUNNNNNNNNNNNNNNNNNNNNNNNNNNNNNNNNNNNNNNNNNNNNNNNNNNNNNNNNNNNNNNNNNNNNNNNNNNNNNNNNNNNNNNNNNNNNNNNNNNNNNNNNNNNNNNNNNNNNNNNNNNNNNNNNNNNNNNNNNNNNNNNNNNNNNNNNNNNNNNNNNNNNNNNNNNNNNNNNNNNNNNNNNNNNNNNNNNNNNNNNNNNNNNNNNNNNNNNNNNNNNNNNNNNNNNNNNNNNNNNNNNNNNNNNNNNNNNNNNNNNNNNNNNNNNNNNNNNNNNNNNNNNNNNNNNNNNNNNNNNNNNNNNNNNNNNNNNNNNNNNNNNNNNNNNNNNNNNNNNNNNNNNNNNNNNNNNNNNNNNNNNNNNNNNNNNNNNNNNNNNNNNNNNNNNNNNNNNNNNNNNNNNNNNNNNNNNNNNNNNNNNNNNNNNNNNNNNNNNNNNNNNNNNNNNNNNNNNNNNNNNNGAUAACAGCAUUAAAGGUCGUAGCAAGUACCCCCGACGAGUUGGGCUUCGAAAAAAUAGCAGCUUGUAGAAUCAUAGACUGAUUAACUGAGUACUGAUUAACACAGAGGCACAGAAACAGGAUGCUAAUUUCGGUAGUCCAAAUCUCAUGAUUACGAUCACACUUGCCAAAGCGAAUAUCCCACUAAGACCUAAAAUCUAUUUUUACCGAACAGCUCACAGAGGUCCCAGUAGCUUAUUUGUUGGGAGUAUGUAAGAAUAUAAGAAUUUUUCAUUUCAUAUUUAAGUAGAAUACUCCCAGGUUAAAAUUAUCUUUAUGUCGCGAAGUACACGCCGGCGGCUCUGCUUCAUGACGCACGCAACCCAGCCACCUGGCCACCACCAUCCUGUUGCAUCAAUGCUGUAGUAGUGGACGAUGGCAUAAUCAUCAUAAAUGGGCAGCGAGCAACGGUCAGCGUUGACAAUGGACCCCUAAGGACGACAAGAGAGGCCCACCUCAUCACGUUCGAAGACAGAACCGUGAUCAACAGCACCCUGUUCUUAAACCUCAACAAAGCAUUGAGGAAAGUUCCAGGAAUCGUAGCUUCGCCUUUGCUGUCAAUAACGGGGCACGGUGAAAUCCUAAGCCUACCACGACUACAAUCGAUGAACGAGCACAAUCUAAGGGCCAUCCAAGAACUUAGAAGCGACAUGACAUCCGGUGGGUCACCCAAGACCUGGUUCAUUGCGGUCAGCCUCAAGCUCUGUGGCCUUAUCCUGUUGCAUCAAUGCUGGAGUCGAAGGAACUCCUCAAUCAAGUUGCAAAAGGUCAUCAGAGAGAUAGGUAUCGCCGAGGACGGAGAUGAUUUAAGGGGGGAGUAGUUAACACAUAAGCAAUAACAUGGGACACCCUAACUUAGCGCACAAGAAAUGUGAAAUAUCAUGUGCCGCCCUAACUUAUCCAGUCCGAUACGGAGGGCGCCGAUGCAGUAGAUGCCGUUGCAGCGGGCGGCUCUGUUAUCUGAUUGGGCGCCAGCGAUCGCAUGAUCUUGUUUAUGCGUAGGCGGCUCUUAUCUCUUGUGAGCGCGGACGGCUCGCCGGCUAGGUUUCGGUGUAGGUUUAGAAGUAAGCUUUAGUUUAGAAUUGGACGAAUAAAUGAACGGAGCGUUCACAUAAACUCCGACACGAGUCGUAAAAGUGCAUUGAUAUAAUCAUAUUGUUGAGCGAAUUCCCGGUUGCUUUAUCUCCCGUUAAUGGGAGAGUUGUAUUAGAAGCCAUCUUCUGAGUCAACGGUUGGCGUUGGUGGCAGGGGGCGAUGUUCUCGCCCGGUGCCCUUGGGCUAGCGACGGCGGCCUCGGUUGCGUUGCGUAUGGCGUCGAGCCUGGUUUUUGGACAUAAAGUUAAUUGACAUGCUAGUUCAUGUACAGGAAUUGUUUCCUUUUAUACCCGGUACUCGAAGAGUAAAUAGGGUAUAUUGUAUUUGUGCGAAUAACAGUUGUAUGUAACGCACCGAAGGAAGCGUUUCCGACCACAUAAAGUUAAUUUACAUAUGUGUUUACAUAUGCUUAUAUACAUAUAUAUGUUUUUAUAUUUAUCUGAAAAGAUUUGUCUGUAAAAGAUUGAUUUGGUAACAAUGUUGAUAAUAUGGCAGCAACGAAGUCGAGAAGCGACGGCGUUUCCAUAAUAUGCAUACAAUUUUGAAUAAAGCAGUAUAAAAUCUGCAUUUAAAACAAUUACAGCAUUCAAAUACAAUAACAACUUUUAUUGGUAUAUUAAUUUUUUCCAACCCCCAAAGGUCCGGCCACCAAUCCCCACCCCUCAUUCUGCACAUGUUGAGGUAGGUCAGUUUCAUACGCCAAACCCCGAAAACAAAAUCAAAUUAUCAAAACGAAUUUUCGUUCCAUCGCACUUCAGAAAGUCAGGGCACCAACACAUACAUUACUUGCAGUGUCCGUGUGAAUCAAGCCAGAACCGGUUUGGAGCGCUAAAAAAUCAUUGGCUACACGCACUUAUACAGAUGUAGCUGGGACUUCUGUCUGCGUGCUCUACACGAACUAAUACAAAUGUACCUGGGACUUCUAGCUGCGUGUUCUACACGCACUAAUACUUGUACCUGCGACGUUGGCAGAGGCCUGGGACUUGGCACAAUGGCACAGCCGACCGUCCCCUCCGCACGGGCCAAGUUGGUGGCAGCCAUCGAUAGGCUGACCACCUUGUAAGCACGGCUCACCACUCCAGGGACCGCCAACCCAUCCUCCGCGGUCUCAAAGGUCCGUCGUGACCAGAUCCAAAAUAUGUGGGCCAAGGUGGAGGCUGAAUUUAAGGCAUGUUCGCUGGCAAUGCUGUGCGAGCCCCCUGAAGACCAACAGGAAAUUCAGGAAAUUAACGGCGAGUGCUAUAAUCGACUCAUGGUGACCCCCCAAAUAAAUAUCCUUUUAUUGCUGCUUCGCGUGGGUUCCGAGACCAGUCGUGCCUUGAAAGACCUUCAGAGCACCAUUCAAGGUGUUCUAACCGCCCUGGCUCACUCCAAGGUCUGCACAGACAAUUGGGAUAGUCUUUUUGUUACCAUCUGUGAUUCCAAGCUGCCAAAACUGACCCGGGCUCUGUGGGAAGCGUCAGUAACUGACAAAAAGGUAAUGCCUCCAUGGACGGAAAUGGACUCCUUCCUCACACAGCUAUACUUGACACUAGAGGCCAUGGAGAGCGACCUUUCCCAGGCUAGGAGCGAUGCGAACCAGCCACUGUCCAAAGGCGAUAAAAAUCCGAAACCCUCCUGAAGCCACGCCAACCCGUUCCGGUCUCAAGGCAGUCCUCUUCCGAGGAAUUUUCAAUCCUUCAAUACCUGCAUGAAUCCGAAGAAGUGUGAUCUCUGAUCUCCGACUCUGCCCGCACUUCCUCCAAAUGGACGUUGAAGCACGUUUUAGCUGCAUUAAGACGAAGCAGUUGUGCUUAAACUGUUUUACGAGAGGUCACCAGCUACGAGAGUGUUCAAGUUAAUACAUAAGCAAUAACAUGGGACACCCUAACUUAGCGCACAAGAAAUGUGAAAUAUCAUGUGCCGCCCUAACAAUAGGUCAGGCUAUGCCUCCCGCGGCUACGUCAUCUACGGCAACGUCGCCCGCCGAGACAAUAGACUAACCCGCGGUCGCUAGCGUACUAGAACAAAUACGCAUCCGCCGAGAAUAGAGAACACUCGCCGGACGGCUCGCCGGCUAGGUUUCGGUGUAGGUUUAGAAGUAAGCUUUAGUUUAGAAUUGGACGAAUAAACUCCGACACGAGUCGUAAAACGUGCAUUGAUAUAAUCAUAUUGUUGAGCCUUAAGGGCCAACGAAAUAGAGGGCAGUUCUUCUGUAGAAGACCCAGUUGCCAACGGCAACCACCGUCCCCCGCUACAAGAGCGGGCCACGGGAACCCAAUCGCUGCCGCCGGAGCCAACGCAACGCAUACCGCAGCUCGGACCAACACGACUUAAAGUUAAUUGGCGCCCAACGGAAUUUAGGAUCCACGUCCCCAAGAAAAAUAACAUGUAAGUGACUGUUCGGAAAAAAUAAAGCUUGUGAGAGAAUUUGUAUCUCCCCUUUGCUGAUCGUUCAUGAGUUGGGACUGAAGAAACAAGGUCGAAUACGACAGCGACGAGAGCCUAGACUUAUUGUACCAGCCACCAGUCAGUUGUCACGUCUUAGUUAAAUUUUACCUGGGUCGGUACUAUUUUCGCAAUCAUCUUCCGCGUUAGUUGUGUCGGGAGCAGCUUGUCCUUGCUGCUGACUCACGUCUUAAAUCGUCCCUUGAGCUUUUUCAAUCUUUAUGUGUGAGCGCUCUAACUGUAGGUGUCCCUCAGGUGGAAACUUAUAAGAGAGUGACCAUUGACACUAGUAUAAAAUGUGAAAUGAAACUAGAUUUCAUAAAAUCAGUACCAACUUUCAACGGGAAUCAUGAGGAAUAUGUGUCUUGGAGACAAUCUGCUCUAGAUGCGUACGAAGUUUUCAAAAACUACUCUGGUAGUCAGACACACUACGAGGCUGUGGCCAUCAUAAAAAAUAAAAUCUGUGGAACAGCUCGAGCAUUGCUCACAUCGCAUAACACGGUGUUCAAUUUUGAUGCAAUCAUAGCUAGACUCGAUUGCACAUAUGCGGACAAAACAUCCCUACGAGUAUUACGUCAACACUUGGAAAUGGUUAGGCAGGGUGAAACCGAUCUAAUGGAAUAUUAUGACGAAGUCGAGAGAAAGCUACGCUCGUCACUAACAAAGUGGUCAUGACUCAUAAUGAGGAGGCAGCUACCAUUCUCAACGAGGAAAUUAGGAAUGAUGCUUUACACGCAUUCAUAGCGGGCCUCAAGAGGCCGCUAAAAUUGUUCGUUCUCCCGGCACAGCCCAAGGAUUUUCCAUCCGCCUUAGCUCUAGCUCGCGAGGCCGAAAAUAGCAUUGAGAGAAGCGCAUUUGCCGCUACGUAUGCAAAGGUGAUCGAGGAUAAAAACCAUUCAGGCGACGGCAAUAGACAGGGUCAUCGGGCCCAGGCCAGACAAGGUAGAGGUCAGGAAAAGAACCCACAUUUUGUGGGAAAAAGUAAUCAAAAUAGGCAGCAACAGGGUGAUCCUUGGCCAAAGCCAAACGAUAAAGAGGCCCCACAACAAAACCAAGUGCAGCCUAUGGAAGUUGACCCAUCGAUGUCUAAAGCCCAGAAAGGAGCUGAAAAACGUAACUUCGGUCGAAGAUUUUCGACUAGAUUUUCGGGCUAAGCGCCCCAUUUUUUUUGUUAAACACUCUAAGUACGUUUGAUGCCAUUAUAGGUUCCGAUUUGCUAACGCGAGCGGGAGCGGCAUUGAACCAGCGCAGCAGAACAAUCAGAUACGGAAACGCAACUGAACAACUUAGGUUCCACAACUGUGACAACGUAAAUUUCACCAAAGUCGAUGACCUGGUGGUCCCAGGCUCGGUAAAAUCCGAGUUCAAAAAGAUGAUACAGAAGAGAAUCCAAGUUUUUUCGACCUCUAACGAGGCGCUGCCCUUUAGCACCUCAGUCGUCGCUACCAUCCGAACUGAGAAUGACGAGCCAGUCUACUCCAAAUUAUACCCCUACCCUAUGGGAGCAGCAGACUUCGUAAACAAAGAAGUCAAGAACUCUUGAAGGACGGCAUAAUCAGGCCAUCUAGGUCGCCAUACAACAGCCCAAUUUGGGUUGUAGACAAAAAGAAAUCUGACGCCAACGGCAACAGGAAAAAGCGUCUGGUAAUCGACUUCAGAAAACUGAACGAGCGAACAAUCGCCGAUCGAUACCCCAUGCCAAGCAUACCCAUUAUUCUAGCGAACUUGGGAAAGGCAAGAUUUUUUACUACCCUAGAUCUAAAAUCACGGUACCACCAGAUAUACAUGGCGGAAAAAGACCGUGAAAAAACUUCGUUUUCAAUUAACGGAGGAAAUACGAGUUUUUCCGGUUACCCUUUGGACUAAAGAAUGCUGGGAGCAUUUUCCAAAGGGCAAUCGACGAUGUUCUACGAGAACAAAUUGGGAAAAUAUGUUAUGUCUAUGUAGAUGAUGUAAUAAUUUUUUCCGAAAACAAAAAUGAUCACGUUAAACACAUCGACACAGCGCUUAAACGCCUCUGCGAUGCAAACAUGAGAGUGGCCCCAGAAAAGACAAAGUUCUUUAAAGAAAGCGUAGAGUUCUUAGGCUUCAUAGUUACCAGGGGAGGAGCCGAGACCGACCCAGAAAAAGUAAGGGCAAUAAGGGAAUACACUGAACCCAAAACACUGUUCAGCCUCAGGUCCUUCCUCGGGCUGGCCAGCUAUUACAGGAGCUUUGUCAGAGAUUUCGCGACAAUAGCGAGACCCUUAACCGCAUUACUCAAAGGAGAAAAUGGCACAGUCAGCAAACACAUGUCCAAGAAAGUUGCGAUUCAGUUCGGUGAAACGCAACGCAACGCAUUCGACCGUCUGCGAAACAUUUUGGCGUCAGAGGACGUCAUCCUUACGUACCCUGAUUUCAAACUACCCUUUGAUCUAACUACCGAUGCCUCAGCAAGCGGCAUUGGGGCGGUCCUGUCCCAAAACGGCAGGCCAAUCACAAUGAUCUCGCGAACACUAAAAGAUUGUGAAGUAAACUACGCCACAAACGAAAGGGAAUUGUUGGCAAUUGUAUGGGCUAUAGGGAAGUUACAAAAUUACUUAUACGGUACCAAGGAAGUAAGAAUCUUUACCGAUCACCAGCCCUUAACAUUUGCUGUGUCCGAUAGGAACACAAAUGCCAAAAUCAAACGGUGGAAAGCCUUUAUAGAGGAACAUAACGCUAAGGUGUUCUACAAACCGGGUAAGGAAAACUUCGUGGCCGACGCCCUGUCCAGACAAAACAUUAAUAACCUACACGAAGAGCCUCAGUCCGAUGCUGCCACGGUGCACAGCGAGCUCUCUCUGUCUUACACAGUGGAAACCACGGAUAAGCCCCUCAACUGUUUCAGAAACCAAAUAAUUCUAGAAGAAGCUAGCCAGCCUCUACGGCGAAACUUCAUAAUUUUCGGCGGAAAAACCCGCCACAUUAUUCNGACACCCUAACUUAGCGCACAAGAAAUGUGAAAUAUCAUGUGCCGCCCUAACUUAUCCAGUCCGAUACGGAGGGCGCCGAUGCAGUAGAUGCCGUUGCAGCGGGCGGCUCUGUUAUCUGAUUGGGCGCCAGCGAUCGCAUGAUCUUGUUUAUGCGUAGGCGGCUCUUAUCUCUUGUGAGCGCGGACGGCUCGCCGGCUAGGUUUCGGUGUAGGUUUAGAAGUAAGCUUUAGUUUAGAAUUGGACGAAUAAAUGAACGGAGCGUUCAUAUCAACUCCGACACGAGUCGUAAAACGUGUAUUGAUAUAAUCAUAUUGUUGAGCCUUAAGGGCCAACGAAAUAGAGGGCAAUUACCCUCUCAACAUAAUCUUCGGUAGAAGACUCAGUUGCCAACCGCAACCACCGUCCCCCGCUACAAGAGCGGGCCACGGGAACCCGAUCGCUGCCGCCGGAGCCAACGCAACGCAUACCGCAGCUCGGACCAAAAAACGCCAUAAAGUUAAUUGGCGCCCAACGGGAUUUAGGAUCCACGUCCCCAAGAAAAAUAACAUGUAAGUGACUGUUCGGAAAAAAUAAAGCUUGUGAGAGAAUUUUGAUCUCCCCUUCGCUGAUCGUUUAUGAGUUGGGACUACAGAAACAAGGUCGAAUACGACAGCGACGAGAGCCUAGACUUAUUGUACCAGCCACCAGUCAGAACAGUGCAGAAUCAAUUUAAAAUGGACCCAGCCAUGAUAAAAGCGUUAGUAGAAGGCGCAAUCAACACAGCCCUCGUCGAACAGGAACGACGACUGAGUGCAGAAUUUAGCAGGGAACUCGAAAAAGUUAGAAAUAGUGUGAGCGCUCUAACUGUAGGUGUCCCUCAGGUGGAAACUUAUAAGAGAGUGACCAUUGACCCUAGUAUAAAAUGUGAAAUGAAACUAGAUAUCAUAAAAUCAGUACCAACUUUCAACGGGAAUCAUGAGGAAUAUGUGUCUUGGAGACAAUCUGCUCUAGAUGCAUACGAAGUUUUCAAAAACUACUCUGGUAGUCAGACACACUACGAGGCUGUGGCCAUCAUAAAAAAUAAAAUCUGUGGAACAGCUCGAGCAUUGCUCACAUCGCACAACACGGUGCUCAAUUUUGAUGCAAUCAUAGCUAGACUCGAUUGCACAUAUGCGGACAAAACAUCGUAGGGAUGUAUUACGUCAACACUUGGAAAUGGUUAGGCAGGGUGAAACCGAUCUAAUGGAAUAUUAUGACGAAGUCGAGAGAAAGCUCACGCUCGUCACUAACAAAGACUCAUGACUCAUAAUGAGGAGGCAGCUACCAUUCUCAACGAGGAAAUUAGGAAUGAUGCUUUACACGCAUUCAUAGCGGGCCUCAAGAGGCCGCUAAAAUUGUUCGUUCUCCCGGCACAGCCCAAGGAUUUUCCAUCCGCCUUAGCUCUAGCUCGCGAGGCCGAAAAUAGCAUUGAGAGAAGCGCAUUUGCCGCUACGUAUGCAAAGGUGAUCGAGGAUAAAAACCAUUCAGGCGACGGCAAUAGACAGGGUCAUCGGGCCCAGGCCAGACAAGGUAGAGGUCAGGAAAAGAACCCACAUUUUGUGGGAAAAAGUAAUCAAAAUAGGCAGCAACAGGGUGAUCCUUGGCCAAAGCCAAACGAUAAAGAGGCCCCACAACAAAACCAAGUGCAGCCUAUGGAAGUUGACCCAUCGAUGUCUAGGUUUAGGCAACAGACCAAUUGGGGGAAACCACAGAGCGACGUCACACAGGGCGAAGCUCAGAAAAGGCGGAACACGUCAGAUCGUAUAUCUGGGCAAAGACGCCAAGGGAUAAAUAAUAUAAUACAGCAGGCCCCUAACCAAGGGGAACAAGAAUAUGCAAACUUAGCCGAGGCCGCGGUUGCGGAAAUUGACGAAGAAAGUGAUUCGGCUAGCGGCAACGACCUGUUCAAUUUUUUUAGUGAGCGCUCCCAAUUGCCGUUCGUCGAGCGACAGUUGGCUGGCAAAACACUAAAAAUUUUAAUCGACACUGGUGCGGCUAAAAAUUACGUAAAGCCCAUAAAGGAGCUGAAAAACGUAACUUCGGUCGACGCCCCCUUCACCGUGAGCUCGAUACAUGGCUCCAGUGAAAUAAAAAACAAGUGCCUAAUGAAUAUUUUCGGGCAAAACGCCCCAUUUUUUUUGUUAGACACUCUAGCUACGUUCGAUGCCAUUAUAGGUUCCGAUUUGCUAACGCGAGCGGGAGCGGCAUUGAACCUGCGCAGCGGAACAAUCAGAUACGGAAACGCAACUGAACAACUUAGGUUCCACAACUGUGACAAAGUAAAUUUCACCAAAGUCGAUGACCUGGUGGUCCCAGGCUCGGUAAAAUCCGAGUUCAAAAAGAUGAUACUGAAGAGAAUCCAAGUUUUUUCGACCUCUAACGAGGCGCUGCCCUUUAGCACCUCAGUCGUCGCUACCAUCCGAACUGAGAAUGACGAGCCAGUCUACUCCAAAUUAUACCCCUACCCUAUGGGAGCAGCAGACUUCGUAAACAAAGAAGUCAAGAACUCUUGAAGGACGGCAUAAUCAGGCCAUCUAGGUCGCCAUACAACAGCCCAAUUUGGGUUGUAGACAAAAAGAAAUCUGACGUCAAAGGCAACAGGAAAAAGCGGCUGGUAAUCGACUUCAGAAAACUGAACGAGCGAACAAUUGCCGAUCGAUACCCUAUGCCGAGCAUACCCAUGAUUCUAGCGAACUUGGGAAAGGCAAGAUUUUUUACUACCCUAGAUCUAAAAUCAGGGUACCACCAGAUAUACAUGGCGGAAAAAGACCGUGAAAAAACUUCGUUUUCAAUUAACGGAGGGAAAUACGAGUUUUGCCGGUUACCCUUUGGACUAAAGAAUGCUGGGAGCAUUUUCCAAAGGGCAAUCGACGAUGUUCUACGAGAACAAAUUGGGAAAAUAUGUUAUGUCUAUGUAGAUGAUGUAAUAAUUUUUUCCGAAAACGAAAAUGAUCACGUUAAACACAUCGACACAGCGCUUAAACGCCUCUGCGAUGCAAACAUGAGAGUGGCCCCAGAAAAGACAAAGUUCUUUAAAGAAAGCGUAGAGUUCUUAGGCUUCAUAGUUACCAGGGGAGGAGCCGAGACCGACCCAGAAAAAGUAAGGGCAAUAAGGGAAUACACUGAACCCAAAACACUGUUCAGCCUCAGGUCCUUCCUCGGGCUGGCCAGCUAUUACAGGAGCACAAUCUAAGGGCCAUCCAAGAACUUAGAAGCGACAUGACAUCCGGUGGGUCACCCAAGACCUGCUUCAUUGCAGGAGUGGCGGCCAGCCUCAAGCUCUGUGGCCUUAUCCUGUUGCAUCAAUGCUGGAGUCGAAGGAACUCCUCAAUCAAGUUGCAAAAGGUCAUCAGAGAGAUAGGUAUCGCCGAGGACGGAGAUGAUUUAAGGGGGGAGUAGUUAACACAUAAGCAAUAACAUGGGACACCCUAACUUAGCGCACAAGAAAUGUGAAAUAUCAUGUGCCGCCCUAACUUAUCCAGUCCGAUACGGAGGGCGCCGAUGCAGUAGAUGCCGUUGCAGCGGAUCUUACAUUUUUCAACAGCUCCCCAAUCGAUGUACUGAUUGGGGCCGAUAUCCUACCAUCCGUAGUGUUAAGCGGCGUCCAGCCCAUCAAAUGCAGCUCUCUAUUCGGCCAAGAAACCAUUUUCGGUUGGGUGCUCACAGGUCCCGUGUCCAAUACGGCGACCCAGCGACUUGUAUCUUUUUUAAGUCAAAUUUCCAGAGACAAUUCCAAUGUCCUAAAUGUGACCAUACUCCGUUCCGUUAAGCAAAUUACUAAUGCUUCUUCGACUUCUUCAUCUCGUCCUAGCCUUCCGCAUGCAUACAUGGCGUCUCGGUCGCAAGUCGACCGCACCACUCAGAGCAGACGUUCCUGAGAUACUAAGUCCUACCAAUGCCGAGUCUGCUCUGAAUUCCAUCCUCUACGGAAGUGUCGCCGAUUUCUCCGCCUAAGGACCGAAGAUAGGCUCCGAGCUGUCCGAAACUUCAGCUACCGCACCAAUCCGGCUGGCUCACCAGCACUCCGGACAGGAUUGCCGAUGCGGCGACCGGUGUAAGGUGUGUGACCUGAGGCACCACACGUUGCUGCACAUGGACGGUGCGCAACUGCCGCCCUCUUCUCGACGUCCAGCCCCGCACCACUUCUAGUGCCAUCUGCAGCUUCUGCGUCGCAGGCCGGACACCGCCUUCGAGAACCAGUAUCUCCUUUUGCUGUACUGCAAGGGGGGGGGGGGGGGGAGGAUGGUGAAAGUAGCAGAAGCGAGUUAGCAGCGCCCGCGCCGUUUCGAGUGCACAAUAAACCACCAUUAUAUCGAAUAUACUGUGCCUCUUCAUUUCGGGACACUUGGACUUUCCGAGGAGUUUAUCUGCAGCGUCAGGAAGCCGUCCUACUACGAACACUUUCUAAAACAAAUACCUCUGUGGGAUACAUCAAGAGUACAGAUGGUACAAGAUCGUGCGGAUUAAGUGUAAAUGCCUCAAAAUCGGAACUUGUACUAUUUACUAACAAGUACAAAGCCCCGCCACUUAACCCCCCAACAUUAAAAAAAUGUAGGUUAACCUUUAGCGGCAGUGCCAGUGACCUU